Molecule: ribosomal RNA, 820 nt
Filed under: Fibrodontia alba
Lineage: Eukaryota; Fungi; Basidiomycota; Agaricomycetes; Trechisporales; Hydnodontaceae
Description: partial large subunit ribosomal RNA
Rfam family: Eukaryotic large subunit ribosomal RNA
Source: RNAcentral
CCCCUAGUAACUGCGAGUGAAGCGGGAAGAGCUCAAAUUUGAAAUCUGGCGGCUCCGUCGUCCGAGUUGUAACCUGGAGAAGCGUUUUCCGUGCCGGACCGUGUACAAGUCCCUUGGAACAGGGCGUCGUAGAGGGUGAGAAUCCCGUCUUUGACACGGACUCCCGGUGCUCUGUGAUGCGCUCUCGAAGAGUCGAGUUGUUUGGGAAUGCAGCUCAAAAUGGGUGGUAAAUUCCAUCUAAAGCUAAAUAUUGGCGAGAGACCGAUAGCGAACAAGUACCGUGAGGGAAAGAUGAAAAGCACUUUGGAAAGAGAGUAAAACAGUACGUGAAAUUGUUGAAAGGGAAACGCUUGAAGUCAGUCGCGUCUGCCGGGACUCAGCUCCGCUCCGCGGGGUGCACUUCCCGGCCGACGGGUCAGCAUCGGUUUUGGGGGACGGACAAAGGCGGGAGGAAGGUGGCAGCUCCGGCUGUGUUAUAGCCUCCCGUUGUACGCGCCCUCCGGGACCGAGGAAUCCGGCGCUCGCCGCCUGGGAUGCUGGCGUAAUGGCUUUAAGCGACCCGUCUUGAAACACGGACCAAGGAGUGCUACACGCUCGCGAGUGUUUGGGUGGAAAACCCGGACGCGAAAUGAAAGUGAAAGUCGAGACCCUUUGCGGGGGCACCGACGCCCGAGCCUGACGUUUUCUGAAGGCCUUGCGGUAGAGCGAGCGCGUUGCGACCCGAAAGAUGGUGAACUAUUCCUGAGGAGGGCGAAGCCAGAGGAAACUCUGGUGGAGGCUCGUAGCGGUUCUGACGUGCAAAUCGAUCGCAGGACUUGGG